UGCAACUGGAGCCAGUUUUGCCCUACAUUUUGUUUCAGCAAAAGAAGCCACUUUGCUAGUAACUUUAAUGAGUACACAGAAAUAUUGCCUUCUCUUUUUCUGUCAGCUCAUAACAAUUAUACAUUGUUCAACUUUUUACAGUCAACAAGGCACAAUGCAUCAGACACAUGUGAAACAUCGAACUGUGGUAUGGAGAAUAUUAUGAAGAGAUCUGUAUGUAAGAGUGUAAUUUGAGAUAAUACAUGACGUUUCCCAAACGAACAGAUUGGACAUCAUGCAGAACCCCUGUUUGUUUUACCUGGGCUAAUUUGUAAAAGCAGGAUUUAGCUCCCAGACAGUCACUCAAAUCCUUGUAUGAAGAAGGAGAGCUGUGCAUGGACCGUGCCACUGCCACGCAGGUUCCCUCUUUUCCAGGCUGGAACAUGAGAAAAAGGCAGGCUCAACUGGGAGAAAGGACUGCAAUGAAAGGAGAGUGCUAAGGCAGCUAACUCAAGGGACAUCUCUCAAGGAAAGGCUCUGGGAAUAGAGAAAAAGAGGACCAAGCAACAGAAAGCAACACCAGUAGAGUGGCUUCCUAGAGCCUUCCUUUCUCACUCAAGGUGGAUUACAAAAUAUGGAAAAAAGCCAUUCGAUCAAACAACGAGGACUCCAAUAGACAGUGCAGCAGGACUAGGAUUACAGAAUUGGAAAACGAUGCAAACAAAACACUGUCCAAGGCAUGACAAUGCCGUAAUGCAGGAGGAGUACAAAGGCAAUUGGAGCAAACAUCUUUUAAAGGCAGCUCUUCCACUAUGAAAUGGCAAAACCACAGAAGCCACCAGGCUAUCCACAGCUUUAGAAGUGAUUCCUACAUGCUUAUUCAUGCAAGUUCAUGUAAGAUAAAACAGUUCCUAUCUAUAAAACAAGCUUAAGUGCCUAUUACCUUCAGAUCUUUGAUGGGAUACAGUCAAGCUGAUUUAACACAAGUGCUACUGGCAAUAGCUUUUAUGUUUUUCGCUCAUGUGUGGGCAGAAAUGUUUGGAAGGCAUAUGAACUAGCAACCUUGAUGAAUCUAAGGA
Eublepharis macularius is the source of this 1058-nucleotide long non-coding RNA. RefSeq lists it as uncharacterized. The record is from RefSeq and is a predicted model, not a curated record. The transcript has 3 exons. NCBI's taxonomy places the organism in Eukaryota, Metazoa, Chordata, Lepidosauria, Squamata, Eublepharidae.